Molecule: ribosomal RNA, 443 nt
Filed under: uncultured bacterium
Lineage: Bacteria
Description: partial 16S ribosomal RNA
Rfam family: Bacterial small subunit ribosomal RNA
Source: RNAcentral
CCUACGGGAGGCAGCAGUAGGGAAUAUUCCACAAUGGGCGAAAGCCUGAUGCAGCAACGCCGCGUGGAGGAAGAAGGUUUUCGGCUCGUAAACUUCUGUCAUCAGAGACGAAAGAAAUGACGGUAACUGAAUAAGAAGCCGCGGCUAACUACGUGCCAGCAGCCGCGGUAAUACGUAGGGGGCAAGCGUUAUCCGGAAUUACUGGGUGUAAAGGGUGGGUAGGCGGCAUGGUAAGCCAGAUGUGAAAGCCUUGGGCUUAACCCGAGGAUUGCAUUUGGAACUAGCAAGCUAGAGUACAGGAGAGGAAAGCGGAAUUCCAAGUGUAGCGGUGAAAUGCGUAGAUAUUAGGAAGAACACCAGUGGCGAAGGCGGCUUUCUGGACUGAAACUGACGCUGAGGUACGAAAGCGUGGGGAGCGAACAGGAUUAGAUACCCGAGUAGUC